RNAcentral lists this long non-coding RNA (892 nucleotides) under Marmota monax (woodchuck). The record is from RNAcentral. Lineage: Eukaryota; Metazoa; Chordata; Mammalia; Rodentia; Sciuridae.
CAGCCUCCCAGCUGCGCUCCCGUCCCGCGCCGCCACCUGCGCGCGGUGGGGCGGCCCCGGGGCCAAUCCCUGCCCUGCCAGUCAGCUGGCCGCCCGCCACCUCGGGGAAGUUGUGUAACCCGGGGCCCCGCGACGCCCUUUCCUGGAGCCCGGAGCUGGAGCGAAGCCCCUGGGGCCUUGACAUCAGAGGUGACGCGAGUCUUCGCAGGCGAUGACUCGGCAGAGGACUGGCCACUCCCUUUCCCGCGUCCGGCUGCUAGGGAUGGGUCCCCUCCCACCAAGUGGCCUGGACCCGCCAACAGCUCUCCCGAUGUUCUGAACUCGGGGUCCUCAGGACCCGUCCGACCCUCACUAUACCUUGGGACUGUCUCCUGUGUGACAGACACCGUUUCAGAUAACCGUCCUAGGACUGGCCUGUGGCGCUCCCUCCUGGUGACUGCAGGGAGUACCCUGAACAAAAGGAAGUCCUUCCUGGGGUCUAACCUCCAUCUCUGGGGAGGGGUGGUGGUGGAGGGUUUCCUUGAGAGUGCAGAACAGCUGAAGGUAGCUUGUUCUCUCCUCCACCUUACAACAUAGACUUGUGUGGAGUCCAGGCAGGUAUUUUAUUUUUGUUGGGCUGGGCCAUCUUGAGGCCCAAAUGGACCGGACCACCUGGAAUACACCCUAGGCAGGAUUUCUAUGUCAAGUGGCCCUGUGGGGAGUAGGCUUGGGGACUGUGCGGGUGGUGUGUGUGUGUGUGUGUGUGUGUGUGUCUUACCUGGGUGUGGGAAGGCCUUGGUGGAGGGGGGAAGGAAAGGAUGUAGGUUAGGGCUUUGUGGAGGGAAAAAAUGAGGAUGGAGAGCUUGGGGCUGGGCAGGUUUCCAUGACCCCCAACCCCCACCCCUGGAGUGGG